This 463-nucleotide ribosomal RNA is filed under the name uncultured bacterium. RNAcentral's name for it is "partial 16S ribosomal RNA". It matches the Rfam family "Bacterial small subunit ribosomal RNA", at positions 28 to 507 of the family's 1533-position model. The record is from RNAcentral.
GACGAACGCUGGCGGCGUGCUUAACACAUGCAAGUCGAACGGAAAGGCCCUGCUUGCAGGGUACUCGAGUGGCGAACGGGUGAGUAACACGUGGGUGAUCUGCCCUGCACUUCGGGAUAAGCCUGGGAAACUGGGUCUAAUACCGGAUAGGAGCCAUUUUUAGUGUUAUGUUUAAAUAUUUUUCGGUGUAGGAUGAGCUCGCGGCCUAUCAGCUCGUUGGUGGGGUAAUGGCGUACCAAGGCGGCGACGGGUAGCCGGCCUGAGAGGGUGGACGGCCACAUUGGGACUGAGAUACGGCCCAGACUCCUACGGGAGGCAGCAGUGGGGAAUAUUGCACAAUGGGCGCAAGCCUGAUGCAGCGACGCCGCGUGGGGGAUGACGGCCUUCGGGUUGUAAACUCCUUUCGCUAGGGACGAAGCUUUUUGUGACGGUACCUAGAUAAGAAGCACCGGCUAACUACGUG